RNAcentral lists this long non-coding RNA (135 nucleotides) under Neodiprion lecontei (redheaded pine sawfly). Its description in RNAcentral is "uncharacterized LOC124293161". The record is from RNAcentral. Lineage: Eukaryota; Metazoa; Arthropoda; Insecta; Hymenoptera; Diprionidae.
UACCGGGACAAUCCCUAGAAACUAUACAGUCAAUGCGCAUGCGCGAGUUUUAUCGGCUGUUCGGGCAGGUUGGCCACUCCGACUCUCAGCUGUCAAAACCCGUGUCUGGCGGCGAUGUAGAGAUCGGAAGAGGAC